This 484-nucleotide ribosomal RNA is filed under the name uncultured bacterium. RNAcentral describes it as "partial 16S ribosomal RNA". It matches the Rfam family "Bacterial small subunit ribosomal RNA", at positions 28 to 507 of the family's 1533-position model. The record is from RNAcentral.
AUUGAACGCUGGCGGCAUGCUUUACACAUGCAAGUCGAACGGCAGCGCGGGCUUCGGCCUGGCGGCGAGUGGUGAACGGGUGAGUAAUGCAUCGGAACGUGCCCAGUAGUGGGGGAUAGCCUGGCGAAAGCCGGUUUAAUACCGCAUACGACCUGAGGGUGAAAUCGGGGGACCGAAAGGCUUCGUGCCAUUGGGGUGGCCGAUGUCGGGUUAGCUGGUUGGUGGGGUAAAGGGUUACCAAGGCGACGAUCCGUAGCUGGUCUGAGAGGGCGGCCAGCCACACUGGGACUGAGACACGGCCCAGACUCCGGCGGGAGGCAGCAGUGGGGAAUUUUAGACAAUGGGGGCAACCCUGAUCCAGCCAUGCCGCGUGCGGGAAGAGGCCCUUCGGGUUGUAAACCGCUUUUGUUCGGGAAGAAAUCCUCUGGGCUAAUACCCCAGGGGAAUGACGGUACCGGAAGAAUAAGCACCGGCUAACUACGUG